GAUGAACGCUGGCGGCGUGCUUAACACAUGCAAGUCGAACGGAAAGGCCACAGCUUGCUGUGGUACUCGAGUGGCGAACGGGUGAGUAACACGUGGGUGAUCUGCCCUGUACUUCGGGAUAAGCUUGGGAAACUGGGUCUAAUACCGGAUAGGAAUCACAUGUGGGUGUGUGGUUGGAAAGCUUUUGCGGUAUGGGAUGAGCUCGGGGCCUAUCAGCUUGUUGGUGGGGUAAUGGCCUACCAAGGCGUCGACGGGUAGCCGGCCUGAGAGGGUGUACGGCCACAUUGGGACUGAGAUACGGCCCAGACUCCUACGGGAGGCAGCAGUGGGGAAUAUUGCACAAUGGGCGCAAGCCUGAUGCGGCGACGCCGCGUGGGGGAUGACGGCCUUCGGGUUGUAAACUCCUUUCGUCAGGGACGAAGCGAAAGUGACGGUACCUGGAGAAGAAGCACCGGCUAACUACGUG
Molecule: ribosomal RNA, 466 nt
Filed under: uncultured bacterium
Lineage: Bacteria
Description: partial 16S ribosomal RNA
Rfam family: Bacterial small subunit ribosomal RNA
Source: RNAcentral